RNAcentral lists this ribosomal RNA (508 nucleotides) under uncultured bacterium. RNAcentral describes it as "bacterial SSU rRNA". It matches the Rfam family "Bacterial small subunit ribosomal RNA", at positions 16 to 518 of the family's 1533-position model. The record is from RNAcentral.
AUUCUGGCUCAGGAUGAACGCUGGCGGCAGGCUUAAUACAUGCAAGUUGAACGGUAACAUGUUGUAGCAAUACGAUGAUGACGAGUGGCGCACGGGUGCGUAACACGUGUGUAACCUACCUUAUACAGGAACAUAACGUUGAGAAAUCGGCGCUAACAUUCCAUAAUAUUAUUUGUAGGCAUCUAUGAAUAAUUAAAACUCCGGUGGUAUAAGAUGGGCACGCGUUCCAUUAGCUAGUUGGUAAGGUAACGGCUUACCAAGGCAACGAUGGAUAGGGUUCUGAGAGGAUAAUCCCCCACACUGGAACUGAGACACGGUCCAGACUCCUACGGGAGGCAGCAGUAAGGAAUAUUGGGCAAUGGAGGCAACUCUGACCCAGCCAUGCCGCGUGCAGGAAGACGGCCCUAUGGGUUGUAAACUGCUUUUAAUAGGGAUUAAAGUCGACUACGUGUAGUUGUUUGCAAGUACCUAUAGAAUAAGCAUCGGCUAACUCCGUGCCAGCAGCCGC